Long non-coding RNA from Dendroctonus ponderosae (mountain pine beetle), 247 nucleotides. RefSeq lists it as uncharacterized. The transcript has 2 exons. Lineage: Eukaryota; Metazoa; Arthropoda; Insecta; Coleoptera; Curculionidae. The record is from RefSeq and is a predicted model, not a curated record.
UCUUUAAAGAAUAUAUGUAGUGGUGGUUAAUGGAAAACAUGAAGAAGAUAUCCAUUAAAGCUGCUUUGAUUGAAGAUUGAUCUCUCGAAGGAAAUAACAUUUCUCCAGUCAAGCCAGGGGAAUAGCAUAGCAUUGAUGGAUAUACACUAUUUCUAGGUAGAGUUCGGAAAAUAUAUCUAAAUUUGACACAUGUUUGCCUAUAGAAAAUACCUCUCAAACUAUUACCAAUAGAUAUUUGUAACAGCAA